AGUGAACGCUGGCGGUAGGCCUAACACAUGCAAGUCGAACGGCAGCACAGUAAGAGCUUGCUCUUACGGGUGGCGAGUGGCGGACGGGUGAGGAAUACAUCGGAAUCUACUUUUUCGUGGGGGAUAACGUAGGGAAACUUACGCUAAUACCGCAUACGACCUACGGGUGAAAGCAGGGGAUCUUCGGACCUUGCGCGAUUGAAUGAGCCGAUGUCGGAUUAGCUAGUUGGCGGGGUAAAGGCCCACCAAGGCGACGAUGCGUAGCUGGUCUGAGAGGAUGAUAGGCGACACGGGAACUGAGACACGGACCAGAGUAAUACGGGAGGCAGCAGUAGGGAAGCGUCCGCAAUGGGCGAAAGCCUGACGGAGCAAAGCCGAGUGAGUGAUGAAGGUCUUAGGAUCGUAAAAAUCUGUUAGUAGGGAAGAAAAAAUGUGUAAGUAACUAUGCACGUCGUGACGGUACCGAAUCAGAAAGCAACGGCUAACUACGUG
This 492-nucleotide ribosomal RNA is filed under the name uncultured bacterium. Its description in RNAcentral is "partial 16S ribosomal RNA". It matches the Rfam family "Bacterial small subunit ribosomal RNA", at positions 29 to 507 of the family's 1533-position model. The record is from RNAcentral.